RNAcentral lists this transfer RNA (71 nucleotides) under Marmota monax (woodchuck). Its description in RNAcentral is "tRNA.Ala". Lineage: Eukaryota; Metazoa; Chordata; Mammalia; Rodentia; Sciuridae. The record is from RNAcentral.
GGGGUUGUGGCUCAGUGGUAGAAUCCACACCUUGCACAUGUGAGGCCCUGGGUUUAAUCCUCAGCACCACA